This 90-nucleotide small RNA is filed under the name Sphingopyxis italica. RNAcentral describes it as "microRNA MIR1846". The record is from RNAcentral. Lineage: Bacteria; Pseudomonadati; Pseudomonadota; Alphaproteobacteria; Sphingomonadales; Sphingopyxidaceae.
AACCACCGUCGCCCCUGCGAAGGCGGGGGCCGCUAUCGACACGGCGUAAAGUUGCUUGCGGCCCCCGCCUUCGCGGGGGCGACGAGCUAU